Molecule: regulatory RNA element, 85 nt
Rfam family: chrB-a RNA
Source: Rfam
GACAAGGGGUUUAUCGCGACGACCCCGUGAGGCUUCGGCCCAAGGUUCGCGUCCAUGGUCCUCAAUUGAAGGGAUGGACGCCAUG